This 253-nucleotide ribosomal RNA is filed under the name uncultured bacterium. Its description in RNAcentral is "partial 16S ribosomal RNA". It matches the Rfam family "Bacterial small subunit ribosomal RNA", at positions 524 to 776 of the family's 1533-position model. The record is from RNAcentral.
UACGUAGGGGGCAAGCGUUGUCCGGAAUCAUUGGGCGUAAAGCGCGUGUAGGCGGCUGAGUAAGUCUGCUCUGAAAGCCCGGGGCUCAACCCCGGGAGGCGGGUGGAUACUGCUCAGCUCGAGUCCGGAAGAGGAGUGUGGAAUUCCUGGUGUAGCGGUGAAAUGCGCAGAUAUCAGGAGGAACACCAAUGGCGAAGGCAGCUCACUGGGACGGUAUUGACGCUGAGACGCGAAAGCGUGGGGAGCAAACAGG